CCUACGGGAGGCAGCAGUGGGGAAUAUUGGGCAAUGGGCGCAAGCCUGACCCAGCAACGCCGCGUGAAGGAAGAAGGCUUUCGGGUUGUAAACUUCAUUUAUCAGGGACGAAGCAAGUGACGGUACCUGAUGAAUAAGCCACGGCUAACUACGUGCCAGCAGCCGCGGUAAUACGUAGGUGGCAAGCGUUAUCCGGAUUUACUGGGUGUAAAGGGCGUGUAGGCGGGAGUGCAAGUCAGAUGUGAAAACUAUGGGCUCAACCCAUAGCCUGCAUUUGAAACUGUACUUCUUGAGUGCUGGAGAGGCAAUCGGAAUUCCGUGUGUAGCGGUGAAAUGCGUAGAUAUUAGGAGGAACACCAGUGGCGAAGGCGGUCUGCUGGACAGCAACUGACGCUGAGGCGCGAAAGCGUGGGGAGCAAACAGGAUUAGAUACCCCUGUAGUC
RNAcentral lists this ribosomal RNA (443 nucleotides) under uncultured bacterium. RNAcentral's name for it is "partial 16S ribosomal RNA". It matches the Rfam family "Bacterial small subunit ribosomal RNA", at positions 338 to 795 of the family's 1533-position model. The record is from RNAcentral.